UGUCCUACGGGGGGCAGCAGUGAGGAAUAUUGGUCAAUGGACGGAAGUCUGAACCAGCCAUGCCGCGUGCAGGAAGACGGCUCUAUGAGUUGUAAACUGCUUUUGUACAAGGGUAAACCUGAAUACGUGUAUUCAGCUGAAAGUACUGUACGAAUAAGGAUCGGCUAACUCCGUGCCAGCAGCCGCGGUAAUACGGAGGAUCCAAGCGUUAUCCGGAAUUAUUGGGUUUAAAGGGUGCGUAGGCGGUUUGAUAAGUUAGAGGUGAAAUGUCGGGGCUCAAACCCGAAACUGCCUCUAAUACUGUU
This 305-nucleotide ribosomal RNA is filed under the name uncultured bacterium. RNAcentral's name for it is "bacterial SSU rRNA". It matches the Rfam family "Bacterial small subunit ribosomal RNA", at positions 335 to 637 of the family's 1533-position model. The record is from RNAcentral.